CCGAAUUCGUCGACAACAGAGUUUGAUCCUGGCUCAGGAUGAACGCUGGCGGCGUGCUUAACACAUGCAAGUCGAACGAUGAAGCCCAGCUUGCUGGGUGGAUUAGUGGCGAACGGGUGAGUAACACGUGAGUAACCUGCCCCUGACUCUGGGAUAAGCCCGGGAAACUGGGUCUAAUACCGGAUAUGACUUUUGACCGCAUGGUUGAGGGUGGAAAGAUUUAUCGGUUGGGGAUGGACUCGCGGCCUAUCAGCUUGUUGGUGAGGUAAUGGCUCACCAAGGCGACGACGGGUAGCCGGCCUGAGAGGGUGACCGGCCACACUGGGACUGAGACACGGCCCAGACUCCUACGGGAGGCAGCAGUGGGGAAUAUUGCACAAUGGGCGCAAGCCUGAUGCAGCGACGCCGCGUGAGGGAUGACGGCCUUCGGGUUGUAAACCUCUUUCAGUAGGGAAGAAGCGAAAGUGACGGUACCUGCAGAAGAAGCGCCGGCUAACUACGUGCCAGCAGCCGCGGUAAUACGUAGGGCGCAAGCGUUAUCCGGAUUUAUUGGGCGUAAAGAGCUCGUAGGCGGUUUGUCGCGUCUAUCGUGAAAGUCCGAGGCUCAACCUCGGAUCUGCGGUGGGUACGGGCAGACUAGAGUGAUGUAGGGGAGACUGGAAUUCCUGGUGUAGCGGUGAAAUGCGCAGAUAUCAGGAGGAACACCGAUGGCGAAGGCAGGUCUCUGGGCAUUUACUGACGCUGAGGAGCGAAAGCAUGGGGAGCGAACAGGA
RNAcentral lists this ribosomal RNA (773 nucleotides) under Glutamicibacter nicotianae. RNAcentral describes it as "partial 16S ribosomal RNA". It matches the Rfam family "Bacterial small subunit ribosomal RNA", at positions 1 to 777 of the family's 1533-position model. The record is from RNAcentral. Lineage: Bacteria; Bacillati; Actinomycetota; Actinomycetes; Micrococcales; Micrococcaceae.